GAAGUCUUACCUUAAUUAAAGUGGCCCGAYGCUAUUCAGGUGUUGUAGAAUAGAGUUCUACAGGCUUUG
This 69-nucleotide transfer RNA is filed under the name Lygodactylus bivittis (tiny scaled gecko). RNAcentral's name for it is "partial tRNA-Ala". Lineage: Eukaryota; Metazoa; Chordata; Lepidosauria; Squamata; Gekkonidae. The record is from RNAcentral.